UCCUGGGUUGCUUAGUUAAUAGAGCUCUCCAAUAGAAAUGGAGAGGUCCCUGGUUCGAUACCAGGACCAGGCG
This 73-nucleotide transfer RNA is filed under the name Ixodes scapularis (black-legged tick). RNAcentral describes it as "tRNA-Ser". Lineage: Eukaryota; Metazoa; Arthropoda; Arachnida; Ixodida; Ixodidae. The record is from RNAcentral.